RNAcentral lists this ribosomal RNA (327 nucleotides) under uncultured eukaryote. RNAcentral's name for it is "partial 18S ribosomal RNA". It matches the Rfam family "Eukaryotic small subunit ribosomal RNA", at positions 1470 to 1796 of the family's 1831-position model. The record is from RNAcentral.
CCCUUAGAUGUUCUGGGCCGCACGCGCGCUACACUGAUGCAUUCAACGAGUUUUUCCUGGUCCGAGAGGAAUGGGUAACCUUUUGAAAGUGCAUCGUGCUAGGGAUAGACUAUUGCAAUUAUUGGUCUUCAACGAGGAAUUCCUAGUAGACGUAGUUCAUCAGACUGCAUCGAUUACGUCCCUGCCCUUUGUACACACCGCCCGUCGCUCCUACCGAUUGAAUGAUCCGAUGAAUAUCAUGGAUUGAGGAUGCAAGUAGGUUAGCCUAUCUUCAUCUUCGAGAAGUGAAGUAAAUCUUAUCAUUUAGAGGAAGGAGAAGUCGUAACA